CUAUAGCGACGGUUUUUACUGUCGCUAUACAUCUACAACGAUAUUUUUAUUGUGAAAAUAAUAAAAAAUAAUGUGAAUUUAACAAUUUCUUUUAUUUAUUAUGUGACUCGAGCCCCUUAGCUAAGGUCAAUGUUUACCUGCUAGUACAUAUAUGUUUGCCUAAAUAAUUUUCUUGCAUAAUAAAUAUGUGGGCCUUAAGGAAAAAGGAGAAAAUGGCGUUAAUGUUGACCAGACUUUGUCCACUCAUUUUACAGGUUCCAUAUUAGUAUAAGGUUAUAGGGCAGAAGAAAAUGAUUUUAAAUUUGAUAUACUGUCGUACACGACACGACAGGUGUUUGAAGUAAGAAUCAUGACAAAUUAAAUGAUAUACACGACAAAUUGAU
This 383-nucleotide long non-coding RNA is filed under the name Panax ginseng (ginseng). RNAcentral's name for it is "long non-coding RNA (PGIN_LNC014084)". The record is from RNAcentral. Lineage: Eukaryota; Viridiplantae; Streptophyta; Magnoliopsida; Apiales; Araliaceae.